UACGUAGGGGGCAAGCGUUGUCCGGAAUUAUUGGGCGUAAAGCGCGUGUAGGCGGCUCGGUAAGUCUGCUGUGAAAGUCCAGGGCUCAACCCUGGAACGCCGGUGGAUACUGUCGAGCUCGAGUCCGGAAGAGGCGAGUGGAAUUCCUGGUGUAGCGGUGAAAUGCGCAGAUAUCAGGAGGAACACCAAUGGCGAAGGCAGCUCGCUGGGACGGUACUGACGCUGAGACGCGAAAGCGUGGGGGGCAAACAGG
RNAcentral lists this ribosomal RNA (253 nucleotides) under uncultured bacterium. RNAcentral's name for it is "partial 16S ribosomal RNA". It matches the Rfam family "Bacterial small subunit ribosomal RNA", at positions 524 to 776 of the family's 1533-position model. The record is from RNAcentral.